RNAcentral lists this ribosomal RNA (453 nucleotides) under uncultured Brevundimonas sp. RNAcentral describes it as "partial 16S ribosomal RNA". The record is from RNAcentral. Lineage: Bacteria; Pseudomonadati; Pseudomonadota; Alphaproteobacteria; Caulobacterales; Caulobacteraceae.
CACGAAGUUAGCCGGGGCUUCUUCUCCGGGUACCGUCAUUAUCGUCCCCGGUGAAAGAAUUUUACAAUCCUAAGACCUUCAUCAUUCACGCGGCAUGGCUGCGUCAGGCUUUCGCCCAUUGCGCAAGAUUCCCCACUGCUGCCUCCCGUAGGAGUUUGGGCCGUGUCUCAGUCCCAAUGUGGCUGGUCAUCCUCUCAGACCAGCUACUGAUCGUCGCCUUGGUGAGCCAUUACCUCACCAACUAGCUAAUCAGACGCGGGCCGCUCUAAAGGCGAUAAAUCUUUCCCCCGAAGGGCACAUUCGGUAUUAGCACAAGUUUCCCUGAGUUAUUCCGAACCUAAAGGCACGUUCCCACGUGUUACUCACCCGUCCGCCACUAACUCCGAAGAGUUCGUUCGACUUGCAUGUGUUAGGCCUGCCGCCAGCGUUCGCUCUGAGCCAGGAUCAAACUCU